CUCUAUUAAGCCUAACCAUGUAGCUGUUAGUCUUCUGCAGGUUAGUUUGAAGGGCUGUAUGAGGCAGGCCUAAUUUAUAAGGGCUGACCCCAUUCAUCAGACUGAGUGGUCCAAGGAAGAAGAAAACCAGUGGAGAGCUAGCCAGAUGAGAAGAUCACAGCAUAAUGUAACAGAAAACCAUAGAAUUAGAUACAGACAGACAAGUGUCUGACUGAGUUUGUUAAAGGUUUUCAUGCCUUUCUCCCCCUCUAGGCUGUCAGAUUCUUUGGGCAAGGACUGAGUCAUCUCUGCAUUCUCAGCACCUGGUGCAAUUUAAGCAGAAAUAUCUUGAAGAUUUUUCGUGUCUUCAGGGAGAUUAGGGAUGGGAAUGGAAUGGGAACGCCAAUGCAGGAAGGAUGAGAAGGUGGGGUUCUUUCCCAAAUGGCCCCUGGCAAUGAGGUCUUCCUGAAACCAGCGGGCUUCCUGAGAAACGUGAAGAGAACCAGGUCGCCUGGGAUUUCUUCCUUCCCCAGAAGGUCUCCCCAAGUCAACAUCGUCUCUGAAUUUUCUAUUUCCCUUUGGCAAAUAAAAGAAAAAGUAAGUAAAACAUCUUAGUCUAUGCAUGACCAAAGGUUAAACCUUUUAUUGCUUCAUUUUGAUUGUAUCAGCUUUUCAGGACAACGUUUUCAAGGCCACAGCUUAUUUUAAUAGCUGUAAUAAUACCAGUAUUUUCUGAUAAUAAUGGCAAACACUUUUUUUGGCAAGCACUUUUAGUGUUUGUUGUGGUUGUGCGCCAGGCAUGGUUCUCAGCAGUUUUCACUAAUUCAUUUCAUCUUCACAACAACCCUAUAAGGUAAGUUUUAUUAUCGCCCUUUCUACAGAUUGGCACAUGUUGUUUGGCUUGCCCCUAAACUACAUAGACAGCAAAAGACUGAGAGAGAAUCUGGAGAAGACAGUCUUGCUCCAGUUCAUGCUUUUAUUCAUGGCACUCUGCUGACCUCUCAGUCACCAUGCUGUUUACUUUACAUACAUUGUCUUAUUUAAUCUUCACACAGUGUAAGUUUUACUAUUUAUCUCUAUUUUACAGGUGAGGAAUGAAGCUCAGUAGUGGUUA
RNAcentral lists this long non-coding RNA (1093 nucleotides) under Papio anubis (olive baboon). RNAcentral describes it as "lncRNA (ENSPANG00000044116.1)". The record is from RNAcentral. Lineage: Eukaryota; Metazoa; Chordata; Mammalia; Primates; Cercopithecidae.